Hemibagrus wyckioides is the source of this 1161-nucleotide long non-coding RNA. RefSeq lists it as uncharacterized. NCBI's taxonomy places the organism in Eukaryota, Metazoa, Chordata, Actinopteri, Siluriformes, Bagridae. The record is from RefSeq and is a predicted model, not a curated record. The transcript is spliced from 3 exons.
UUAUCUUGGUCUGAGAGCCACGGGAACUUUCUGGAAACUUCUGCACCUAUUUAUAAGCAGGUGAAGACUGGCUUGUGUAGUUUUCAGGUCUUUGUGGCUUUCAGGUCUUCAGGUAUUUCUUUUGAUGUUCAUUUCUGAGCAUUUUGACGAUUUUGUGUUUAACAGUAUUAUUUAGAAUUAAAAACAUGAUUGGUGUUAAAAAUAUAUAAUGAAGAAUUGUUGUUUCAUGGCGAGUAAUAUAGACGCAAUUUUACAUUAGCAAUACUAAUAACCGUUUUUUUUUGUUUGUUUUUUUAAGUAUAGAUUAACAAUUUUAUUGAAAUCAAUUCAUUCAUUAAUCCAAUUAACUUCUGGUUUAAAACGAAAAGUGAAAGAAAAGCGUGGCGGAAUCCUAAAUCGCUUCACAUCUGAUACUUAGUGCACUAGAUAUGGUGUGAAGCCCAUUAUUUCACGAGGCUUGAAGUGUACCUAGUUAGGGAACAGUUAUCCAUUUGUUAUUUAGCCCGCUACGAUGUUCUUGGAGCUAUUUUAGAAAUCGAUACUGAACUUUUUUUUUAUUAUACUAUAGAUGGGUUUAAAAUAAACCCAAAUGCUUUUUUAAAAAAGGAAAUAACGUUUACCAUUAACGUUAAAUGUAUUUUUAGUUAUCUAGAUUAAUUAGCAUUAGCAUUGUUAACGCUAGCUGGUUUAGCCGGGUGCUUAGGGUUAACAGGUAGAGUGUACGCAUAUGCUAGUAGUUAGCAUGUUUAGCUAGUGGCCUUGUAUGAACGGAUUGGAAAAGAAAUUAAAAUGGCGACGGGGAUUCAUGUAAGGAGAAAUACCAAGAGAAAUAUAUGAGAACUUCUCAACAACUACUGUAUAAGGGAGCUAGCCGUGAAGCUGCGUGGUUGCAAAAUCCAAUGAUGAGGCAAAUAAAAAACUUCUCCACAAUGAAGCCUGAGGUGAUGAAGACGCUGAUAGAGAUGAAGAUGGUGGACGGACACUUUGUUUUCAUCACUGUAAAUUUGUCUGUUUAUUUUUUUUCUCUCCACUAAUCUAUCCUUAAAUAAAUCAGUUUUAUUUCCAUAUUUAUUUUCCUUAAUUAUUUAUUAUUUUAUUUAUUUACUUACAUUCCCUGUGAGUGUUCUAGUGAUUUUGUAUUUGUCCACAACACACACACAC